AUAACAAUCAGAGUAAUUAUGCCAUUCAAGGGUGUCACACAAUUAUUCAAACUAUUCACCAAUUAUAAAUGUCAUGCUCUUUAUUAAUUCAAAACAUAAGCAUUUGCAUAAAACGCAACGGAUAGAGAUCUCAUCAAUCAUGUACAACAUGUAACAUUCACAUGUAAAUUAUUCAACAAAAUAAAACGUCCCAUCCCGAUGUUACAUCUAUCAGAGCACGACCCACUAAGGAGACUACACUAGACUCCAAUCAUUCGCUCCUACUCAACUCAGUUCUCGUUACCUGAAAAACAGUUGUAAGGGUGAGUUCCUCAAUCGAUAUAAUA
This 326-nucleotide long non-coding RNA is filed under the name Lathyrus oleraceus (garden pea). RNAcentral's name for it is "Pisum sativum (pea) long non-coding RNA (PSAT_LNC005560)". The record is from RNAcentral. Lineage: Eukaryota; Viridiplantae; Streptophyta; Magnoliopsida; Fabales; Fabaceae.